GACGAACGCUGGCGGCGUGCUUAACACAUGCAAGUCGAACGGAAAGGCCCUGCUUGCAGGGUACUCGAGUGGCGAACGGGUGAGUAACACGUGGGUGAUCUGCCCUGCACUUCGGGAUAAGCCUGGGAAACUGGGUCUAAUACCGGAUAGGAACCAUCCUUAGUGUGGGGGUUGGAAAGUUUUUUCGGUGUAGGAUGAGCUCGCGGCCUAUCAGCCUGUUGGUGGGGUAAUGGCCUACCAAGCCGGCGACGGGUAGCCGGCCUGAGAGGGUGUACGGCCACAUUGGGACUGAGAUACGGCCCAGACUCCUACGGGAGGCAGAAGUGGGGAAUAUUGCACAAUGGGCGCAAGCCUGAUGCAGCGACGCCGCGUGGGGGAUGAAGGCGUUCGGGUUGUAAACUCCUCUCGCUAGGGACGAAGCUUUGUUGUGACGGUACCUAGAUAAGAAGCACCGGCUAACUACGUG
RNAcentral lists this ribosomal RNA (466 nucleotides) under uncultured bacterium. RNAcentral describes it as "partial 16S ribosomal RNA". It matches the Rfam family "Bacterial small subunit ribosomal RNA", at positions 28 to 507 of the family's 1533-position model. The record is from RNAcentral.